RNAcentral lists this long non-coding RNA (1568 nucleotides) under Amborella trichopoda. Its description in RNAcentral is "long non-coding RNA (ATRI_LNC004289)". The record is from RNAcentral. Lineage: Eukaryota; Viridiplantae; Streptophyta; Magnoliopsida; Amborellales; Amborellaceae.
AAGGUAUGAUACUAUGAUCAGAUAAGCCUCAAAUCACGAUAUACCCAAAAAUGCAUGGAAUGGAUACACGCAUAUAUGGGGCUACCUCGCAUCGCUUUUGAAAUUGGAUUGGUCUACAAAACUAUUUUAGGACUUGUCUCUAAUACACCUCAGGGGCAUCUAGAUUAUUUUCACUCAAUCGUAUGAGUGGUGAGCUUAGCUUUUCAAUAUCUAUAAGUGGGGCGAUUCCCAACAUGCCUGGGUGAUAUCAUACCGAUCUUGCCAGCCCUGUGGUGGGGUAAAGAACCCAUCAUGUCCCUUACUAUUGUGGUAGGGUAAAGAACGCAUCAUAUCCCUUAUUCCUUUGAGUGGUAAUUGUGUAAUAGGAAUUGAUGAAUAUUUUACCUCAAACCCUAGUUUCUUAGGUUCGUAAAUGCCUGGGGAAUGAAAGUGUGUGUGAAUGAAGUUGAUACGUGUUGCAUGAAAGCUAGAAAAUAAAACAUCCUAUAUAAAUUGAAAAUGCACUAAAACUGUACUCACAAUAAAAGUAAAACAAAACUGAAAAAUAAGUCCAUGGAGACUGCAUCAGGCCAACCCGCAUAUUGCAGAAAUGCGGGCUUGGCAAUAAAUAUAUUUUUUUUAAAAUAAUUUAAUCAUAAUUUUUGGAGAAUAUAUAAUCUUUAACAUGGAGAUCAUGAAUAUGAAAAAAAAAUUGAAAACUAGAAAUAAUAAUUAUAUUAAAAAGACAUUUGGACCUAUAGUUACACUUGUUUUUAGAUGGACCACCUACUUGCAUCCAUCUUUAAGAUGGAUGCUUCUCAGGACCUCAUAUUGUAGAAAUUGACAGUCCAUCCCGCAUGAAACAAUUUUUCUUUUGAAAAGGUAUAUUUGGUAAGUGCUUCGAGGCAAAUGGCACUAUGGUGGCUUGGCUAAACCAGGAGCUCUCAACCCAUCUGUAGUGCUUGACCCACCCUAAAGUGUGAAGCCAUCUGCAAUUUUUGCUCGUCUUCUGCUGUUUGGUCACUUUGCAAGACUGAGCAACCUCUUUUGAUUCCAGGAACGAUUUCCUAAUUUUGUAUUCAGUAUAUAGUGUACUCCAAUUUGUACAAGGAACACUUUAAAUACCUAUUUAAGGACAAAGUUUCUCUGAGUUCCCCACCUCACCUAUUUUAAUGAGUCCUCUCUCCAAAAUCUAAUUAAAAUAUGGAUUUUGGAUCUAAAAUUUUAAAGAUUGAAAAUCUAAAACAUGAUAACUAUGAAUCUGAAAAAAUAAAUUUAAAAAAAAAAAGAGAUUUUUUUUAAUAUAGAUUGAACACCAUUAGUUUUGAAUCUAGGUGGCCCACCGUUUAUUUACAUCCAUGUACACAACGCACCAAUUACUUUUCCCCUAUAUGAUACAGUUGCCUGUGUUAAAAAAAACAGUAAAAAAAAAGCAGAAUAUCAAAGAAUAUGGAGGAUCAGAAAAUGAGAGAGAUAAUGGAAAUUAAACUGAAAAUUUUGGCAUUGAAGGAAAAGAACUGAAAUGUACAAUGAGACCCUAAAAGAAUUACAGAAGCCUUUCAUUAUCCUGGUGCUGGUUUUACAGAUGU